CUGUCAUCGUUGGGCUUCGAUCUUCGUUUGCAGAAAUGACUUUGUUGAGCUUCUUCUAGGGAUGAUCGGGCUUUUGCCGUCAGAUCUAUCGCCCUAGUGGGAGAGAUCGACUCUGUCAUCGUCGGGCUUCGAUCUUCGUUUGCAGAAAUGACUUUGUUGAGCUUCUUCUAGGGACGAUCGGGCUUUUGCAGUCAGAUCUAUCGCCCUAGUAGGAGAGAUCGACUCUGUCAUCAUCGAGCUUCAAUCUUCGUUUGCAGAAAUGACUUUGUUGAGCUUCUUCUAGGGACGAUCGGGCUUUUGCCGUCAGAUCUAUCGCCCUAGUAGGAGAGAUCGACUCUGUCAUCGUCGGGCUUCGAUCUUCGUUUGCAGAAAUGACUUUGUUGAGCUUCUUCUAGGGACGAUCGGGCUUUUGCUGUCAGAUCUAUCGCCCUAGUAGGAGAGAUCGACUCUGUCAUCGUCGGGCUUCGAUCUUCGUUUGCAGAAAUGACUUUGUUGAGCUUCUUCUAGGGACGAUCGGGCUUUUGCCGUCAGAUCUAUCGCUCUAGUAGGAGAGAUCGACUCUGUCAUCGUCGGGCUUCAAUCUUCGUUUGCAGAAAUGACUUUGUUGAGCUUCUUCUAGGGACGAUCGGGCUUUUGCCGUCAGAUCUAUCGCCCUAGUAGGAGAGAUCGACUCUGUCAUCGUCGGGCUUCAAUCUUCAUUUGCUUUUUCUUCCCCCUUUUUUUUUUCUUCUUUCUUUCUUUCUUUUUUUUUUUUUUCUUUUCUUUUGUUUUUUUGGUUUUGGUUUUUUUCUAUUUCUUCUUCUUCUUCUUAUUAUUAUUAUUUUGCAGGAACUCUUCUUUUCAUCAUGGUGCACUUCACUGAGUAUUCUGACUCGACCAAAAGGUGUUUAAUUAUCCUGAAGGACGUAGAUCAAUCUUUAGAGGAAGGGAUCAUUCUUCCUGUGAGAGAGGGGACAUAUGAGAAUAUUAUGGACUCCCAAAUACCCGAGGACAAUUUUAUCUUUUUGCCUAAAUGGUCCAAGGAACGGUUUGUAAAUCCAAAUUCAUCUUUAAAAUCUUGGUUUCUGGAGUUUUCGAUUCACAACAAGCCUCCAAAUGAGGAUCCAGAAUCAACGUUGGGUCGUCGAAUUAUAAACGACCCAAAAAUUCGUUGGGGAAAUGUGCUCAAGGUACAUGGAGAAUUUUACUAUCUUCCUCAUUAUUGGGAGUGGUUAGAGCUCGUUGUUGCUAGAAAUACGGCAGUACUCAAGCGAGCCUCCCUAUUUAAUGCUGUGAUGGCUUCCCUAUAUACAUAUGAUCGCAACAGUGACAUUGAUCGGGCUUUCUGCGAGGCAUGGUGUCCUUCAACAAACACUCUUCACACCUCAGCUGGUGAGAUGUCCAUCUCCUUAUGGGACUUAUGGAUACUAGGAGGACUCC
Molecule: long non-coding RNA, 1419 nt
Filed under: Cucumis sativus (cucumber)
Lineage: Eukaryota; Viridiplantae; Streptophyta; Magnoliopsida; Cucurbitales; Cucurbitaceae
Description: long non-coding RNA (CSAT_LNC002985)
Source: RNAcentral